UACGGAGGAUCCAAGCGUUGUCCGGAUUUAUUGGUUUAAAGGGUGCGUAGGCGGCCCUGUAAGUCAGUGGUGAAAUACUGCAGCUUAACUGUAGCAUUGCCAUUGAUACUGUAGGGCUUGAGUACAGAUGAGGUAGGCGGAAUUGAUGGUGUAGCGGUGAAAUGCAUAGAUACCAAUCAAGAACACCGAUUGCGAAGGCAGCUUACUAAGCUGACUAACUGACGCUGAGGCACGAAAGCGUGGGGAUCGAACAGG
RNAcentral lists this ribosomal RNA (255 nucleotides) under uncultured bacterium. RNAcentral's name for it is "partial 16S ribosomal RNA". It matches the Rfam family "Bacterial small subunit ribosomal RNA", at positions 524 to 776 of the family's 1533-position model. The record is from RNAcentral.